GACUUUGUGGUAUAACGGUCAACACGCUCGAACCCUAUUCGAGAGGUUCGUGGUUCGAAUCCCGGCGAGGGCG
Molecule: transfer RNA, 73 nt
Filed under: Stegodyphus mimosarum
Lineage: Eukaryota; Metazoa; Arthropoda; Arachnida; Araneae; Eresidae
Rfam family: tRNA
About the family: Transfer RNA (tRNA) molecules are approximately 80 nucleotides in length.
Source: Rfam by way of RNAcentral